This is an RNA transcript of Triticum dicoccoides, 3946 nucleotides long. RefSeq lists it as uncharacterized. The transcript is spliced from 7 exons. The record is from RefSeq and is a predicted model, not a curated record. Lineage: Eukaryota; Viridiplantae; Streptophyta; Magnoliopsida; Poales; Poaceae.
GCAAUCGUCCGUCUCCCACACCAAGCACUCGUCCGUCUCCUCCGUCUCCAACACAAUCCGCCGCCGCCGUCUCCCCUCAUCCCCGUCUCUCACAUCCCGUCGCUUCCGCCGUCGGCCGUCCCGAAUUCUUCGUCCGCCGUCCCUCCCCGCACUCAGGCACGCGUACACCUAUCUUCCUCGCUCGCCUGGUUCCGUGGUUCGUGUACGAUUCACAGCGGAGUAGGGGGUCAGGUUCGGCUUCCAUCCAAACCGGCCGCCGGCCAGUCCACCGAGGGGAGAGUCCAUAUUGACCACGCGAAACCCUAGACGCCACGGAGAUGGUCCAUCUCCGCCGCCUCGCCCAGUUCUUGCUCGCCUCAGUUCGCGGGGAUGGAGCAGGACGGCGCCGCCCGUCCCCUCGCACCAGGCAGGACGACGGCGCCGUGGACGGCUGGGCGCGGAACGACAGCGAGCCCCCUCCCGUACGGCGCUCAGGCGGAGUGCCCCGAGGUCGUAGAUCCUCCUCCUUGCCGGCGCUUCCGCGGCCACGUCUCCGCUGCUGCCUCCGCGUGCGCGACCCUCAACGACGACUCGGUGGGGAGGAGCCCUGCGACGACCUCGACAACGCCUGCUCCCCCGACCACAACUACUGCGCCCAAGAAAGCCACAUGGAUUGGGGAUAUGUACCUCGGUUUGGGUUUAAAGGGGCAAUCUUUGAGCAUUUGUAUAUCAACUAUCGAGGAUCUCAAGUUGACAUGGACCGCACUAUGAUCAAGUGCAUUCUGGUGCUAUGAUGAUUGUGAUAGAAGAUGUUAGCUGCAGAAGCAAUCACUAUGUCUCAGCUCCAAUAUUAAAAAUCAGUGCACCUGAAAUACGACACAAUUUUUGUCAUCUGGAACUGCGCUUAUAAGGUGUUUGGUCUGAAAGCUACGCUCCUGAAUACAAUAUGAUAUAAAAGGUUCAUGAAAUCAUCAGACCUGCUAUGUUCUAUUGUAAUUCGAGUUCAAAUGUCAAGUUGCGCCGCAACAAAAUGCUGCUACUUUAACUUCUGUAAGCGCAGCGAGCAGCGUAGGCGGCCGUUGCAGCUGCUCACAUGGAACGUAUGCCCUGUUGCAGCCUCGCAGGUACCCACAUCUCUCCCUCCCUCCCUCCUCUUGAUUUGAUCCCCAUAAAUUCUCAGCUUUAUUUCUGUGGAUUUUUGUUUUAUCUAUGCCUGUUAUGUCUUUGACAAAAUCCAAGCAGAUUGAGGGGAAGAUUUUGUGCUUAGUUUUUUACUCAAGUAUUUCAUCUUUCUCUCAAAUUUAGCUCCAAUGAACUGAAUUAUUUUGGCAUCACUUUUUUCCCUGGAGAGCAUUAUCAUCUCAUCUCACCACACUCAUGCCACAUAACCUGGCGAGCUCACUCCUUACUCAUUCUAUGUACCACAUUUGUAGAUCAGUUUAAGGUACUGCUAAUGAACCAAAAGUUAAUGUUGUUGGCCUUGCCAAAAUGCCAUGAAGCUUAACAUUCGACACUUCCUUCAAUAGGGCCCUUCAGCCUCCAAGGAGAAGGGAAGUGAUGUCUGACAGGGAAAGAAACUAGGCAAAGCUCUGGAUGCUCGAUUGAGUACACACCCAAUUAGCACUCUACUUCGUCGGUUGUCCACUGAAAUUUGCUCCAUGACAUCUUGCUUGCCAUGUGGUCACCUUACCUCAAAAUUGACAUAUUAUAAUCUAUGAACUACUACAAGUAAACUAUACAACCAAAUGAUUGUUCCAAAAAUUCAAAUUUGCACCAUGCUUUCCACCUGAUCUGCCAGUUUAACUAUCUUAAUUGUACCGCAGACAUUUGAUGUGUGGUAGUAAGUGUGUGAUGAAGCAUGGUGUAGUAGCAAACUAGCAACUGAAUUUUUUGACAUACCAUGGAUUUCUUUCUGCCUCUAUUUGAUGCUCGGGGGUGCUGAUCCGAAGGUCCGUGCGGACCCUGCUCUGGACAUACGUCUCCUUAAUUUCCGUGUGCAAUUCUGCAAUCCAUGCUUUACACUUUAAAAUGAGACAAUAAAAUUUAGCUCAUGUUGCCCUUCCAUCAUGCACCCAGAAUAUAUUACCUUUCUGCUUUUUAUAUUUUGGUUGGGCAUGUUUCAUGAUCAGAGGAUCGAUGAUUUGUUAUGCUAGACAAUGGAAAUAAGAUUUGGUGGAAAACAAAUGAUAUGAUAGGUGAUUUAUGAUGUAUUACUAUUUUAGAUAACAUUAUCCAAAAUUAGUUUUUGGUAUACGCAAACUUUGGAAUUUGUUGAUAAAGAAAGAUCACGCCUAAUUUGCUGGCUCUCUGUUGACACUUAACAGUACUGGCCUCCUGACUCUAGUUGGAUAAUGUUGAUGACUCGAUAUGCGGAGAGAGGUUAGGAAUUGUUGCUAUGGACUAAAACAAUGCAGAGUUGAAGGUUCUGAACUGGGAACUUGAACAAACAGUUUGCCUACCUUUCUUGUGGAAUUGAUUUUUUAAAAGUGAAUGUUCUUCUGGUUGGUGCUUCUUCAGUGGGAUCUGGACCAUGGAAUCUUCAAUUGCAUCUGCUUGGUUCACUGGGAAUUUCCUAGUUUUAAUUUGAUUGACAACUAGCAAAACAGUCCGGCUAAUUUGAUGAUUAAUUCCUGCUGAUUGUACACUUUCAACUCAAGUUCCUGCUGAUUCUACACUUUUCAACCCAAGUUACAUUGUACCAUAUGCCAGUUUGUUUCAUACCUCAUCCAUCCUGGAUUUUUAGACGCAAAGCAUCUGGAUUUUAAAACAAGAAAUAACAUGUCUUUAACAAAAUUAUUCACUCAAAGACCAUGCCCAAGAUUGGAUCUCUCAUCUUUACAGUAAAUUUGGACAGCAGGGAUCUCUCAUCUUUACAGUAAAUUUGGAUAGCAGGGAUGUUCAGUAGAAAAGUAUAAUAGCAUGGAAGCGUUGUUUCUGAACUCGAGCACAUAUGUGCUCUUUAUCUGGGCGGUUCGUCAUAGCAUUGGGAUGCGGUGCAUUACUUUCUGUGUCAGGCUGUUGUUCACUGGAAAAGGGGGAAAUGCAGAAGGAGCACCUCCUUUAACGAUUCAAAACAGGGCCGUGGCUCAUGCCGUCAUUCCCGUCCUGAUCCGUGGCUCGUCUAGGGCCUCAGUAGCUGAGUAAAUGGAGGGAUGGGUUGCUGGGCAGAGUUCUCUCCUACCUCCGGCUCCUGGUUUUUCCUAUUAUCGAGUGAGGCUAGAUGGGCGGCGGAGCUUCUAUUCGAAGGAAACAAAGGCUAGCGCAGAAGAUGGAAUUUCUGAUGCAAUCGAUUAAAAGAACCACCGUGCUGGAGGACGUUAACGAUGGCAACGUACUCAUGGAGCCACUACACUGCCAGUGGUCGCAACCGUUGCAGAUCCGCUGCCGCCCAUGGCGGCAAUGAGUGCGGAAGGCCAGAUCUGUGCGGCUGAUGGCGUGGUCGAUACUGAAAUCGAUGGUUUACUGCAAGCAUCCGAGCAGUCGAUUACUCGAUUUGUUAGAUCGACCCAAAAGCCCCAGCAUGGACUCGAAGUGAGGAUCGGUGCUGCCGCACCAGGAAGGUCACCUUGUCGUAAUCGCACUAGUGCACUGGAGAAGGCAAUUCAUGGUUUUGCGGAAAAUCCAGGAGAUGAUGUGAUUGUCCCUGCACUAGGAACAAGCUUUGAUUGUUUGAGUGAAGCCUUCGACUAUUGCCAUUGGACUUCGAUUCUUUUGGAUGAAGCAUACGACUUUUACAAGCUUCGAUUCUUUGACUAAUCUAUAUUUUAGUAAUCCUCCUUAUUUUCUGAAACUGAUGUAUAGUGGUAUGAUGUACAUUUAAAUGGAUUUCUAAAGUGACAGUAAAUUAGACAACUAUUUUACGAUGUGUAGCCAAAAGCCAAAAGGAUAAUUGCACUAUUAUCAGAAUCAAAUAUGAUUUCAAGUCUGGAGAAAAUCUGCCUUUUCUUCUUCCUUUGUGACUUCCAAU